UUUCAUUUUGUGUAUUUGUUGGAUGGAGAGAACAUGUUUGGUUCAGCAAAUGUAUUAGUUUGAGUUGUUAUUCCUGUUAGGGUUCUCACAUAAAAAAGAAAGGAAGAAUUGACAUCAAAUGAGUAGCAACUGCUGCAGAGAAAGCUUACCAAGAAAAAGCACUAGUAGGUGGAAUCAGAACUCAUGUGUUCUCAAAAUCAAAAGGAGAUGCUUAAGCUGCUAGUUACUGAUAUGAAGCCACUUUCUGUUCGGGACAUUGUCCACAAUGGAGCCACUUUCCAGCUUUGUUGGCCAUCGUGAAUUGUGUGGCUAGCAAAUCAAAGAGUGCAUGAAGGACAAUAUGAUUGAGUAUGCCGUUAGAGUAUUAUCCGGAAGCUUGGUAUUGCAAGUGUGGCAAUAAGCUCUUCAUGCCUAAGCUGUAUCAAAAUUUUAUUCCUAGUUUUGUUUCACUUUGAAGCUCCUUUGUAUUUAGGUGGUGUUGUAUCACAUUCUAAUGUUCAAGUGUAUGGAUUCAAAAAUUUGUAAUGAAAUUAUCAAUUUUUAUGCAA
This is a long non-coding RNA of Olea europaea var. sylvestris, 548 nucleotides long. RefSeq lists it as uncharacterized. NCBI's taxonomy places the organism in Eukaryota, Viridiplantae, Streptophyta, Magnoliopsida, Lamiales, Oleaceae. The transcript has 2 exons. The record is from RefSeq and is a predicted model, not a curated record.